Pelodiscus sinensis (Chinese soft-shelled turtle) is the source of this 796-nucleotide non-coding RNA. Lineage: Eukaryota; Metazoa; Chordata; Testudines; Trionychidae. The record is from RefSeq and is a predicted model, not a curated record.
UGAAGCACAGGAGGAAAGGAAUACCAACAGAGCCAGGAAUUGGAAGCGAGAGAGCAGGCCCCAAGCCAGCAGGGAACAAAUGAACAAUAGAACAGGGAGGACAAAGGUGAAUGUAUGGUCAUAGUGGAAGAGUAAUAGAAGACGGGAGAAAAGGUCACAGAGCUGAGGGGCACUGGAAAGGGACUGCAAAGAGUGAGACGAGCGGGAGUGGAGAUGAAAAAUAAAGGAAAUACGGAGAGUGUUUUAUUUUCUUCUGACUAUCAGAAGAGGAAAGAUGCAGAAAAAGGGAAGAGAAACAAGAGAGUAAAUAGAAAGGAAGAAUCAAUCUCUGGCUGAGAGGAACUGGAAACAGUCAGAGAAGGUGGAAGAAGGAAAGAGAGAGAAAAUACCCAAGGUGAAAGACAGCUUCUGGAUGCUGGAAAGAAUCAGAGAGACCCGAUCUUUGUGGAACCCCUACAAGUGCUCGUCUAGAGGUGAAUAUGCAGUUUUCCUCAUUACUCUUUGGGUGCAUCCCUCCAGGAAGGACUGGAAACUCUUCAGUGCAUUAUCCUGGACUCCUGUGUCCUCUCUCAGGUCAACCUGUGGGAAAGAAGAAGAUAGAAAAAAGAUUCAGUAGGGUGAAAAAAGGAGUGAUGUGAAGGUGGAACAAGGGAGUAUAUCAGAAGCCAAAAUCCUAAUAGCACAAGGUGAACUGCAGAGAUUCAUAUCCAUAGAAAUACCACUGGUGUCCGAAGUAGGUAAAGAUGAGAUGAGGGAAGUUUCUUCAGCACAUUGUGUAAUGAUAAAUGGCUGCAAU